GCCAGGAUAACAACAUUUUAUUACUCCUGCCCCAAUAACAAAGAGACUGGGGAUCCCACAGCAGCCAAAGUGACCAUUUGGGCAAGCAAUCCAUCAUGCUUGGCAGGGUGGGUGUGCCCAUGCAAACGAGAUCAGCCACUGAAGUGCUUUUCCACAGCUCACCACCAGAUGUCAGGGUAGAGCUCAUUCUGAUUCUGUUUACAUCUGUAAAAAAAAAAAUGCGACACCAAUGACAUAUGUGUUCCUUACUUAAAUCAUAAGACUUCCUGGUAAAGUCAGUAACAGAUUUGCUUUGGUCAGUGAAGAACUUUCUUCAUCACCCUGCUUUGCAGCUCUCAACAUUCACAAUUUUCUUCCUGGAAGACAGAAAGAAAAAGAGAACAACAGAACUAAAGAUGGAGGGGGAAUACACAAGCAAUGAACUACCAAAAGUCUGGAAGACAGAAUUUACAAAACUGCGUCCAAUCAUACCUCUUUUCCUUAUAUCUGGAUUGUCCCUACUUAUACUGGUGAAAAAACACUCAGUUCCUUGGGAAAAAUGCGCCUUUGUCACUAUAAUAUUGAGCAUAAUAACAGCAGUGGCUGGAACAAUUUAUUAUUCUCUGGAGUUUGCUUUGAUUAGAUCGCCUCAGAGCCCCUUUCCUCAUGACACCAGUGAUACUGAAAGAUUGGCACUAGCCUACAGAGUGGACUCAGCAGAACUUGGAUUAGCAGCCUUUGAGCUAGGAGUCUCUGUCUGGAUUUUGUGCCUGCUGCAGCGAGCAAGGAAGACAUUAAGGCAGUAGCUCUCAUUGUCAAAAAUAUCAUCUUUUUCAACAGGCUGCUGCCAUUGAUUUUGUUUUAUGGGGAUUGUUCAAUUUGUUUUAUGGGGAUUGUGCGCCGGUGUCAGUAUUAUUUAGCACGUAAGGGCCAUAGUCAAAACUCAUAUUUAAAUACAUGUAUGUUGGUACAUGCCACAUAUAUUUAGCUUGAUCUUACUUCCACUGAAGUCAAUGACAGAACUCCCAUUGACUUUAAUGGGAGCAGGAAUGGGACCCUUUACCAUGGUCUCUCCUCUGUCCUCACUUAUACCCAUGCAUGUCUCUUGAUAUUGUAAAGCACAGAGUGCAGAAUCUGACCCUACAUAUUUUAGGCCAGAUCCUCAAUUGAAGUCAAUGGAGCUAUGACAAUUUAUACCAACUGAGGAACUGGCCCUUAUAUAUAUAAAGACACUUAAAAUUAGCAAAAUGUUGGUACAUUUUCCUAAGGGUGAAAUUCAUCAAAAUGAAUAGGACCUGCACAAAGCCCAAUCCACCACUUGAGUCCCAUUCAGUCCCAGCACUAAACAAGGCAGCAAAACUAAUGCAAAUAGCAGAUCUCCAUCUGGUGAGCAUCAGCGUAGCUAGUACGUCUCUUUUAGCUAUUAUCCUUAUAUCAGCUGCUUAUCCACGACACCUGAUUCUGUGUACAAAUAAAUAUAAUGAAAAGUUGAUAUUGUCUCUAGUC
This 1485-nucleotide long non-coding RNA is filed under the name Chrysemys picta bellii (western painted turtle). RNAcentral describes it as "lncRNA (ENSCPBG00000013696.1)". The record is from RNAcentral. Lineage: Eukaryota; Metazoa; Chordata; Testudines; Emydidae.